RNAcentral lists this ribosomal RNA (1100 nucleotides) under uncultured bacterium. Its description in RNAcentral is "partial 16S ribosomal RNA". It matches the Rfam family "Bacterial small subunit ribosomal RNA", at positions 1 to 1081 of the family's 1533-position model. The record is from RNAcentral.
AUUGACGGAUCCAGASUUUGAUUCUGGCUCAGGACGAACGCUGGCGGCGUGCCUAAUACAUGCAAGUAGAACGCUGAAGAAUUUAGCUUGUCUAAAGUUGGAAGAAUUGCGAACGGGUGAGUAACGCGUAGGUAACCUGCCUACUAKCGGGGGAUAACUAUUGGAAACGAUAGCUAAUACCGCAUAACAGCAUUUAACCCAUGUUAGAUGCUUGSAAAGGAGCAAUUGCUUCACUAGUAGAUGGACCUGCGUUGUAUUAGCUAGUUGGUGAGGUAACGGCUCACCCAGGCGACGAUACAUAGCCGACCUGAGAGGGUGAUCGGCCACACUGGGACUGAGACACGGCCCAGACUCCUACGGGAGGCCGCCGUAGGGAAUCUUCGGCAAUGGGGGAACCCCUGACCGAGCAACGCCGCGUGUGAAGAAGGUUUUCGGAUCGUAAAGCUCUGUUGUAAGAGAAGAACGUGUGUGAGAGUGGAAAGUUCACACAGUGACGGUAACUUACCAGAAAGGGACGGCUAACUACGUGCCAGCAGCCGCGGUAAUACGUAGGUCCCGAGCGUUGUCCGGAUUUAWURGGCGUAAAGCGAACGCAGGCGGUUUAAUAAGUCUGAARUUAAAGGCAGUGGCUUAACCAUUGUUCGCUUUGGAAACUGUUAGACUUGAGUGCAGAAGGGGAGAGUGGAAUUCCAWGUGUAGCGGUGWAAUGCGUAGAUAUAUGGAGGAACACCGGUGGCGAAAGMGGCUCUCUGGUCUGUAACUGACGCUGAGGCUMGAWAGCGURGGGAGMAAACAGGAWUAGAUAMCCUGGUAGUCMMMGCCGUAAACRAUGAGUGMUAGGUGUUAGGCCUUUCCGGGGCUUWRUGCSGCAGCUAACGCAUUAAGCACUCAGCCUKGGGAGUUCGAAMGCAAGUUGAUACUCAAAGGRAUUGHCRGGGGCCCACAAAAGCRGURGAACAURURGUUWAAUUMGAMRCAAMVCRAAAAACCUUMCACRGUCUUGACCUCCCRAWGCUAUUCCUAGAGAUAGGAAUUUCUUCGGAACAYCGGUGMAAGGUGGUACCUGGWKAUCGUMUGCUMGUGUCGUAKGAURUAGGRUU